CGCAGCUUGCUCAUACUGUCUUGGUUUGCUUUUUUUUAUGCUGACUUAAGCUGCAGCAUCUGUAUGAAGGGGUUUAGCACAAUUGUAAAUACUAAUCUCCAGGCUGCCAAUGUCAUUACGGAAGUAGAUACAAGUAAAUGAAACUCACAGUACAUUUCUAUAGACACUGUGGGUGAUUUUGAAGACAUAUGUAUCUUCCAAGCUGUUACAAUCUUCCUGAAUAUAUUUCUUCGUAGGCCGGAGGAGCAUUCCUUUAUGAACAGCCUUAAGCCAUGUAAGACGUGCCUGCUUCCCCUUCACCUUCCAUCAUGAUUGUUUCCAGAGACCUCCCCAGAAGCCAAGCAGAAGCCACUGUGUUUCCUGUGCAACCUGCAGAACCAUGAGCUAAUUAAACUGCUUUUCUUUAUAAGUUGCCCAGACUCAGGUAUUUCUUUAUAGCAGUGCAAGAAUGGAUUAAGACCAUGUAGCUCAAGUGGCCAAAAAAAAAAAAACCUCACAAUUCUAGUACAAUUUUCCAUGUAAGAAGUACAAAAACUAAAGAAGUCAACAAAAGAGAGUUACCCAAGUGACGAAGUCCAUCAGAAAAUGGUUUAAGUCUAUCAGAAAAUAACUUAAAACUGGAAAUAAAAUGUGGAUGUUUUUGAGCUAAAG
This 651-nucleotide long non-coding RNA is filed under the name Homo sapiens (human). Its description in RNAcentral is "HSALNT0147381". Lineage: Eukaryota; Metazoa; Chordata; Mammalia; Primates; Hominidae. The record is from RNAcentral.